Molecule: non-coding RNA, 501 nt
Organism: Gambusia affinis (western mosquitofish)
Lineage: Eukaryota; Metazoa; Chordata; Actinopteri; Cyprinodontiformes; Poeciliidae
Source: the annotation of a RefSeq genome assembly
CACCUGACGCUGAAGAAGAGAAACUCCCAUCAGACCAUCUUCAACAGCAACAUGUCCUCUGUAACUCUGCUCCUGCUGCUGGCUGCUGCAUCCUGUGUGAAGUGUGAACAGCUGACCCAGCCAGCCUCUGUGACUCUGCAGCCAGGUCAACGUCUGACCAUCAGCUGUCAGGUCUCUUAUUCUAUAAGCAGCUACUACACAGCUUGGAUCAGACAGCCUGCUGGGAAAGGACUGGAGUGGAUUGGGAUGGAACGCAUUGGAAGUACCAAAUACUACAAAGAUUCACUGAAGAACAAGUUCAGCAUCCGUUUGGAUGGCUCCAGUAACACAGUGACUCUAAACGGACAGAAUAUGCAGCCUGAUGAUUCUGCUGUGUAUUACUGUGCCAGAUUAGACACAGUGACACAAACAAGCAGCAGAGCUGAACAAAAACCCCUCACUACCUCAACACCUGCUCUACAGAUAUUGAUCAGAGGAGACUCUUUUAGACAAUUUACUUGA